GGUUCCUGCGCGCCCCGCCCGGGACGCGUGCGCACGGGCCGAGCGCGGGCCGCGCCUGCGAUAAUGGGCUGUCCGAGGAUUUCACCCCAGAAAUGGGAAGACUUUGCUUUCUCAUCGCUUCCCACAUUGAGAGGAUACGUGUCGCUUGACCUGUGCUCCUUUUCAACAAUCGGAGUGUCCUCUCCAAGUCUGUGUCCAGCUCUGCAAGCCUGCAGGACAUUCUCAGUGUCAUCAAUGAUCCACACAGCACUUCGAUGUGUCAGAAGUCCUUCCUGCGGGCUCCGUGAGCCCUGCUCGUGGAGCUGCUCAUCUCCCGCACGCUGGGGGCUUCCCUCGGAAAUUGGGCGACACUGACUGCAAGCUUGCCUUGGAGGUGGCGCUUCCCCAUGACGGCACCUGCUGGAUUUGUUUGCCACAACCCUUGGGGGUGACAAGGACGCCUCCUUGACCAAACUUUAGUCAGGCUUCUAGGAGCCCUCCUUUUGAAAAAGCUUCACCCUUGGCUUGCCAGAGUCCAGUUUUAGCAAAGAAUCCUGUUAGGCCAGUCUGUCUAGAGUCCCCCACCCUUGGUGUCCAGACAUGCUCCUCUUCCCCCCACCCUUG
This 603-nucleotide long non-coding RNA is filed under the name Equus caballus (horse). RNAcentral describes it as "lncRNA (ENSECAG00000054763.1)". The record is from RNAcentral. Lineage: Eukaryota; Metazoa; Chordata; Mammalia; Perissodactyla; Equidae.